This 317-nucleotide ribosomal RNA is filed under the name Dendropsophus marmoratus (marbled treefrog). RNAcentral's name for it is "partial 12S small subunit ribosomal RNA". Lineage: Eukaryota; Metazoa; Chordata; Amphibia; Anura; Hylidae. The record is from RNAcentral.
AGUGCCGGGUUAAAGAAAGCACUUUGGUCUUUCUUUACUUCUAAAUCCGCCUUCUGACUAGAUUUCAUAAAUAGUCUUUCGUAUGAUCUAUGCUAGAUAGUGUAGCCCAUCUCUUCCCAUUUUAUAUGCUGCACCUUGACCUGACGUAUUGGUGUAAGGGCAUUUAGCUCACUAGUUGGCGCUCACGUGGUAAGCUGACGACGGAGGUAUACAGGCUGAUAGGCUAAAAAUGGUGAGGUUAAGCGGGGGUUAUCGAUUAUAGGACAGGCUCCUCUAGGUGGAUAUGGGGUACCGUCAAGUCCUUUGGGUUUUAAGCU